RNAcentral lists this ribosomal RNA (478 nucleotides) under uncultured bacterium. RNAcentral's name for it is "partial 16S ribosomal RNA". It matches the Rfam family "Bacterial small subunit ribosomal RNA", at positions 28 to 507 of the family's 1533-position model. The record is from RNAcentral.
GAUGAACGCUGGCGGCGUGCUUAACACAUGCAAGUCGAACGGGAAACCUUUUAUUGAAGCUUCGGCAGAUUUAGCUGGUUUCUAGUGGCGGACGGGUGAGUAACGCGUGGGUAACCUGCCUUAUACAGGGGGAUAACAGUCAGAAAUGGCUGCUAAUACCGCAUAAGCGCACAGAGCUGCAUGGCUCAGUGUGAAAAACUCCGGUGGUAUAAGAUGGACCCGCGUUGGAUUAGCUGGUUGGUGGGGUAACGGCCCACCAAGGCGACGAUCCAUAGCCGGCCUGAGAGGGGGAACGGCCAGAUUGGGACUGAGACACGGCCCAGACUCCUACGGGAGGCAGCAGUGGGGAAUAUUGCAAAAUGGGGGAAAACCUGAUGCAGCGACGCCGCGGGAAGGAAGAAGUAUCUCGGUAUGUAAACGUCUAUCAGAAGGGAAGAGAAGGACGGUACCUGACUAAGAAGCCCCGGCUAACUACGGG